GAACCCGUGGCGCAGUGGUAGCGCGUAUGAUUCCAGCCAGCCGUGCUUACGUAAGCAGGAUUUGGGCAUCCAUAAGGUCAUCCGUUCAAUCCGGGUCGGGUUCA
Hydnomerulius pinastri MD-312 is the source of this 104-nucleotide non-coding RNA. NCBI's taxonomy places the organism in Eukaryota, Fungi, Basidiomycota, Agaricomycetes, Boletales. The record is from the annotation of a GenBank genome assembly.